AUGUGGACUGGGUUGUCGCGCACCGGGAAGGAUGAGGAAAACGGCAACCCAACCACUAUAGUGGAAAUAAGAGCUGACGGUCGUGGACUGCUGCUCGGCAUGAACUCGACCGUCAGGAUGCCACGGGGCUGGAUUGGGGACGGUGCUGGACAUAUUGGAGAAGUGGCCAAAGAGCUUAGAGCAGCAGUGUACAUCAGCAAAGGACUGCUCGUGCACAAGGAGAUGGAGGGGCGAAGUGUGUGCCUCCCGAGCCACGGCAUUGAACUGCUUCGGGUUGUGUCGUUGAACGAUCCGGUGUGGUGGCGGUGA
This 309-nucleotide ribosomal RNA is filed under the name Triticum aestivum (bread wheat). Its description in RNAcentral is "partial small subunit ribosomal RNA". The record is from RNAcentral. Lineage: Eukaryota; Viridiplantae; Streptophyta; Magnoliopsida; Poales; Poaceae.